AAUGAACGUUGGCGGCGUGGAUUAGGCAUGCAAGUCGUGCGAGAAGUGUUUUUUGCUUGCAUUGAACACGGACAGCGGCGAAAGGGAGAGUAACGUGUGGUUACAUGCCCAAGGGUCCAGGAUAGCGUUGGGAAACCGGCAGUAAUACUGGAUAAUAUCUAAGGAUCAAAGGUGUGAUUCCGCCCUUGGAUUGGACCGCAUACUAUUAGCUUGUUGGUGAGGUAAUGGCUCACCAAGGCUGCGAUGGUUACCGGGUGUGAGAGCAUGGCCCGGCUCACUGGGACUGAGACACUGCCCAGACACCUACGGGUGGCUGCAGUCGAGAAUCUUUGGCAAUGGACGAAAGUCUGACCAAGCGACGCCGCGUGCGGGAUGAAGGCCCUCGGGUUGUAAACCGCUGUCAGUUUGGAGGAAAGGUUUGUGAAGAGCAAACCCUGACCGAUAUUCAGAGGAAGGACGGGCUAAGUUCG
Molecule: ribosomal RNA, 470 nt
Filed under: uncultured Planctomycetota bacterium
Lineage: Bacteria; Pseudomonadati; Planctomycetota
Description: bacterial SSU rRNA
Rfam family: Bacterial small subunit ribosomal RNA
Source: RNAcentral